CGCUGGACCGUGCAUAAGUCUCCUGGAAUGGAGCGUCAUAGAGGGUGAGAAUCCCGUCUUUGGCACGGAAAUCCCAGGGCUUCUGUGAUGCGCUCUCGAAGAGUCGAGUUGUUUGGGAAUGCAGCUCAAAAUGGGUGGUGAACUCCAUCUAAAGCUAAAUAUUGGCGAGAGACCGAUAGCGAACAAGUACCGUGAGGGAAAGAUGAAAAGCACUUUGGAAAGAGAGUGAAACAGUACGUGAAAUUGUUGAAAGGGAAACGCUUAAAGUCAGUCGCGUCGACCGAGACUCAGCCUUGCCUAGGCUUGGUGUAUUUCUCGGCCGAUGGGUCAGCAUCAAUUUUGAUCCUCGGAUAAUGGCAAGGGAAAGGUAGCACCUUUACAGGUGUGUUAUAGUCCCACGUCGCAWGCGGGGGUCGGGAUUGAGGAACUCAGCAUGCACCUCUUGGGUGUCAGGGCCUUGGCCCAUGUUACGUGCUUAGGAUGCUGGCAUAAUGGCUUUAAACGACCCGUCUUGAAACACGGACCAAGGAGUCUAACAUACCCGCGAGUGUUUGGGUGGAAAACCCAUGUGCGUAAUGAAAGUAAAAGUUGGGACCUCUGUCGUGGAGGGCACCGACGCCUGGACCAGACCUUCUGUGACGGCUCUGCGGUAGAGCGUGUAUGUUGGGACCCGAAAGAUGGUGAACUAUGCCUGAAUAGGGUGAAGCCAGAGGAAACUCCUGGUGGAGGCUCGUAGCGAUUCUGACGUGCAAAUCGAUCGUCAAAUUUGGGUAUUAGGGCGAAAGACUAAUCGAACCAUCUAGUAGCUGGUUCCUGCCGA
RNAcentral lists this ribosomal RNA (820 nucleotides) under Russula sp. RNAcentral describes it as "partial large subunit ribosomal RNA". The record is from RNAcentral. Lineage: Eukaryota; Fungi; Basidiomycota; Agaricomycetes; Russulales; Russulaceae.